CCAUAUGAUGACCACACCGACACCUUAGGGAUUCCUCAUACUUAAUACAUAAUGUGGAUUCUGUUGUUUUGUUUCAGCCUUGUCUGAUU
Molecule: non-coding RNA, 89 nt
Organism: Stachybotrys chartarum IBT 40288
Lineage: Eukaryota; Fungi; Ascomycota; Sordariomycetes; Hypocreales; Stachybotryaceae
Source: Rfam